AACCACAUCGGUGGCUUAGUGUUUAGAACGUCCACCUCAGAUGCGGGAGGGCGUGGGCUUGAUCCCCAGUCGAGUCA
Molecule: non-coding RNA, 77 nt
Organism: Potamilus streckersoni
Lineage: Eukaryota; Metazoa; Mollusca; Bivalvia; Unionida; Unionidae
Source: the annotation of a GenBank genome assembly